RNAcentral lists this ribosomal RNA (119 nucleotides) under Rodentolepis nana. Lineage: Eukaryota; Metazoa; Platyhelminthes; Cestoda; Cyclophyllidea; Hymenolepididae. The record is from RNAcentral.
GUCAGCGACCAUACCAAGUAGAAAGCACUGUUGCUCGCCCGAUCACCGAAGUUAAACUAUGUCGGACCGGGUUAGAACUUGCAUGGGUGACCGGCUGGGAAUACCCGGCGUUUCUGGCU